ACCAGCCGUAAGGUCACUUCUGAACUGACCAUCUGUACAAGGAAACACACAUGCAGGAAGGCUAGAGGCGGUUAGAUGGUCAGCCGCGCUCAGGACCUGGUCAUUCGCUAUUCGGGACAGUUCUGUGGAUGACAACCAAGUUCUCGUACUUCCGGUAGUCGUGCUAACUUUCCAGAAGAAUGCAUAAACAAUUGUUUUUUGUCCUUCUGGUUUGUGCCGCGGGGUACAUUAUAGCGCAGAACAAUGGCAAUGUUUACCAGGCAAACAGCAACACUGACGUCAUCAGGGAAGUGUAUGUCCCCAUCACCCGCCCUGGUAGUCGGAACGUCGGACCAAUCGUCGAUUACGUACUACUCGGCCUUGGUCUUUCCGUCAUUUACUUCAUCCUGUGCAAUGGUACCGGGGACCUGAUAUCAUAAUACCCGCUGGGAAUUAUGACUACCGAAGAGUUCCGGGUUAAAGGACCAGUAACACUCCUGACGUCACACCGGUGGACUGUUUUCUUGGCUCAUUUUCAAAGGAAUUCCGAUCAAAUGUACAGUUUUCAAUACGAUAAAAUAAAAAAAUGGUCUAAAAA
Long non-coding RNA from Pecten maximus, 577 nucleotides. RefSeq lists it as uncharacterized. NCBI's taxonomy places the organism in Eukaryota, Metazoa, Mollusca, Bivalvia, Pectinida, Pectinidae. The transcript has 3 exons. The record is from RefSeq and is a predicted model, not a curated record.